Molecule: transfer RNA, 76 nt
Filed under: Planctomycetota bacterium
Lineage: Bacteria; Pseudomonadati; Planctomycetota
Description: Planctomycetes bacterium tRNA-Lys
Rfam family: tRNA
About the family: Transfer RNA (tRNA) molecules are approximately 80 nucleotides in length.
Source: RNAcentral
GGGAGCUUAGCUCAGUUGGUAGAGCAGCGCCCUUUUAAGGCGCGGGUCGCAGGUUCGAUCCCUGCAGCUCUCACCA